This is a non-coding RNA of Leptonychotes weddellii (Weddell seal), 980 nucleotides long. The record is from RefSeq and is a predicted model, not a curated record. Lineage: Eukaryota; Metazoa; Chordata; Mammalia; Carnivora; Phocidae.
GCUCCCUCUCCUUAGUUCUGAGCAAGCUCGCUGGCUGUUCUGAAGCCCUGGAGAUCAGUGGCUCCUUUGGCGAGCCAGGCUGCAGAGAGGUGAGGGAGGAGUGUGUUGGGUGUGGGAGGCAAGAAUAGGGAUUAUUCUAAGACCUCCUUCUCCUUUGCUCUCUGCUGCCUUCCCACCCCACACCUGGGGAGACAGUAUUAGAGAGUCGUUUUCAGCAUAUUGGUCAUGUCUUGCAUUCUCUCAGCUAAAUAUUGCCUUAGCACAGCAUAUUUUUUACUCCAGGGUGAUGUUUUAGGAACUCCAUGUUCUUACUCAAGGGAUUUUUCUCUUAAGCUUCAAUCUCCCUCCACAGAAAGCUGUUUUUAGAAGAAGAUAAACUUAGCAAUCAUGUUUGUGUUUGCUCUUUUGUAGUCGAGCAAAAGAUGUGAUAAUACCAGCAAAGCCACCUGUCAGCUUUUUCUCCUCGAGGUCUCCGGUGCUUGACCUCUUCCAGGGGCAGCUGGACUACGCAGAGCAUGUUCGCCGGGACUCAGAGGUGGUGCUGUUGUUCUUCUACGCUCCGUGGUGUGGCCAGUCCAUUGCCGCCAGGUCAGAGAUUGAGCAAGCAGCGGGUCAGCUUUCAGACCAGGUGUUGUUUGUGGCAAUUAACUGUUGGUGGAACCAGGGGAAAUGCAGAAAACAGAAGCAUUUCUUUUAUUUCCCUGUGAUAUAUCUGUAUCAUCGGAGUUUUGGACCAAUCGAAUACAAAGGCCCCAUGAGUGCUGUUUACAUUGAGAAGUUUAUCCGCCGGGUGAUGAAACCACUUCUCUACAUCCCAUCUCAAUCAGAAUUACUAGAUUUUCUCUCAGACUACGAGAUAUGCACUAAAAUCAUACCUGCCUUGGAGCGCCUGGUUGGCCCAGUUGGGAGAGCGUGCACUCUUGAUCUCGAGGGUUGUAAGUUUGAGCCCCAUGUUGGGUGUAGAGAUUCCUUAAAAAUAA